RNAcentral lists this ribosomal RNA (252 nucleotides) under uncultured bacterium. RNAcentral's name for it is "partial 16S ribosomal RNA". It matches the Rfam family "Bacterial small subunit ribosomal RNA", at positions 524 to 776 of the family's 1533-position model. The record is from RNAcentral.
UACGUAGGUCUCGAGCGUUGUCCGGAUUUAUUGGGCGUAAAGCGAGCGCAGGUGGUUUAUUAAGUCUGGUGUAAAAGGCAGUGGCUCAACCAUUGUAUGCAUUGGAAACUGGUAGACUUGAGUGCAGGAGAGGAGAGUGGAAUUCCAUGUGUAGCGGUGAAAUGCGUAGAUGUAUGGAGGAACACCGGUGGCGAAAGCGGCUCUCUGGCCUGUAACUGACACUGAGGCUCGAAAGCGUGGGGAGCAAACAGG